RNAcentral lists this transfer RNA (72 nucleotides) under Methanomicrobiales archaeon. RNAcentral's name for it is "tRNA-Thr". It matches the Rfam family "tRNA". From Rfam's summary of the family: Transfer RNA (tRNA) molecules are approximately 80 nucleotides in length. Their secondary structure includes four short double-helical elements and three loops (D, anti-codon, and T loops). Further hydrogen bonds mediate the characteristic L-shaped molecular structure. tRNAs have two regions of fundamental functional importance: the anti-codon, which is responsible for specific mRNA codon recognition, and the 3' end, to which the tRNAs corresponding amino acid is attached (by aminoacyl-tRNA synthetases). tRNAs cope with the degeneracy of the genetic code in two manners: having more than one tRNA (with a specific anti-codon) for a particular amino acid; and 'wobble' base-pairing, i.e. permitting non-standard base-pairing at the 3rd anti-codon position. Lineage: Archaea; Methanobacteriati; Methanobacteriota; Methanomicrobia; Methanomicrobiales. The record is from RNAcentral.
GCCGCUGUGGCAUAGGGGUAUUGCGGCUGAUUCGUAAUCAGCAGGCCGGGGGUUCGAAUCCCUCCAGCGGCU